GAUGAACGCUAGCGGCAGGCUUAAUACAUGCAAGUCGAGGGGCAGCAGGACUGUAGCAAUACAGUUGCUGGCGACCGGCAAACGGGUGCGGAACACGUACGCAACUUACCCUUGUCUGGGGCAUAGCCCGGGGAAACCCGGAUUAACUCCCCAUAAGAUAGUGGUGUGGCAUCACACAGCUAUCAAAUCUUUGGAGGACAGGGAUGGGCGUGCGGCUGAUUAGGUAGUUGGUAGGGUAACGGCCUACCAAGCCUGCGAUCAGUAACUGGUGUGAGAGCACGACCAGUCACACGGGCACUGAGACACGGGCCCGACUCCUACGGGAGGCAGCAGUAAGGAAUAUUGGUCAAUGGACGCAAGUCUGAACCAGCCAUGCCGCGUGGAGGAUGAAGGCCCUCUGGGUUGUAAACUUCUUUUAUGGGGGACGAAACACUCUUAUUCUUAAGAGCUGACG
Molecule: ribosomal RNA, 454 nt
Filed under: uncultured bacterium
Lineage: Bacteria
Description: bacterial SSU rRNA
Rfam family: Bacterial small subunit ribosomal RNA
Source: RNAcentral